AGACGUCUACAUUAGAUACCCGCGUAUCCCAGCCGUAAACUAUGCGCGUUAGGUGUAUCGGUGACCACGAGUCACCGAGGUGCCGAAGGGAAACCGUGAAACGUGCCGCCUGGGAAGUACGGUCGCAAGGCUGAAACUUAAAGGAAUUGGCGGGGAGCACCACAACGGGUGGAGCCUGCGGUUUAAUUGGACUCAACGCCGGGAAGCUCACCGGAUAAGACAGCGGAAUGAUUGCCGGGCUGAAGACUCUGCAUGACUAGCUG
RNAcentral lists this ribosomal RNA (263 nucleotides) under uncultured archaeon. RNAcentral's name for it is "partial 16S ribosomal RNA". It matches the Rfam family "Archaeal small subunit ribosomal RNA", at positions 718 to 982 of the family's 1478-position model. The record is from RNAcentral.